Molecule: non-coding RNA, 69 nt
Organism: Rattus norvegicus (Norway rat)
Lineage: Eukaryota; Metazoa; Chordata; Mammalia; Rodentia; Muridae
Source: Rfam
GGGGCUAUAGCUCAGUGGUAGAGCACUUGCCUAGCAAGCGCAAGGCCCUGGGUUCGGUCCCCAGCUCCG